RNAcentral lists this ribosomal RNA (468 nucleotides) under uncultured bacterium. RNAcentral describes it as "bacterial SSU rRNA". It matches the Rfam family "Bacterial small subunit ribosomal RNA", at positions 330 to 795 of the family's 1533-position model. The record is from RNAcentral.
GCCAGACUCCUACGGGAGGCAGCAGUGAGGAAUAUUGGUCAAUGGGCGCGAGCCUGAACCAGCCAAGUCGCGUGAGGGAUGACGGCCCUACGGGUUGUAAACCUCUUUUGUCGGGGAGCAAAUUCCGCCACGUGUGGCGGAGUCGAGAGUACCCGGAGAAAAAGCAUCGGCUAACUCCGUGCCAGCAGCCGCGGUAAUACGGAGGAUGCGAGCGUUAUCCGGAUUUAUUGGGUUUAAAGGGUGCGCAGGCGGCGAGUUAAGUCAGCGGUAAAAUUUCGGGGCUCAACCCCGUCCGGCCGUUGAAACUGGGGGCCUUGAGUGGGCGAGAAGAAGGCGGAAUGCGUGGUGUAGCGGUGAAAUGCAUAGAUAUCACGCAGAACUCCGAUUGCGAAGGCAGCAUACCGGCGCCCAACUGACGCUGAAGCACGAAAGCGUGGGUAUCGAACAGGAUUAGAUACCCUUGUAUUA